RNAcentral lists this non-coding RNA (85 nucleotides) under uncultured Bacteroides sp. The record is from RNAcentral. Lineage: Bacteria; Pseudomonadati; Bacteroidota; Bacteroidia; Bacteroidales; Bacteroidaceae.
CUCACAGGGGUGCCUUAUAAUGACAGGCUGAGAACAAACCCAUUGUAUCUGAACCGGGUAAUACCGGCGUAGAGAAUUGUAACUA